UACGAAGGGGGCUAGCGUUGCUCGGAAUCACUGGGCGUAAAGCGCACGUAGGCGGCUUCUUAAGUCAGGGGUGAAAUCCUGGAGCUCAACUCCAGAACUGCCUUUGAUACUGAGGAGCUUGAGUCCGGGAGAGGUGAGUGGAACUGCGAGUGUAGAGGUGAAAUUCGUAGAUAUUCGCAAGAACACCAGUGGCGAAGGCGACUCACUGGCCCGGUACUGACGCUGAGGUGCGAAAGCGUGGGGAGCAAACAGGG
This 254-nucleotide ribosomal RNA is filed under the name uncultured bacterium. Its description in RNAcentral is "partial 16S ribosomal RNA". It matches the Rfam family "Bacterial small subunit ribosomal RNA", at positions 524 to 777 of the family's 1533-position model. The record is from RNAcentral.